This is a non-coding RNA of Albula goreensis, 74 nucleotides long. NCBI's taxonomy places the organism in Eukaryota, Metazoa, Chordata, Actinopteri, Albuliformes, Albulidae. The record is from the annotation of a GenBank genome assembly.
AGCAGUGUGGAAUGAUGGUUAGAGAGCUAGGCUUACAACUCAGUGGUACUGGGUUCGAUUCCAAGGUACUGCUG